This 447-nucleotide ribosomal RNA is filed under the name uncultured bacterium. Its description in RNAcentral is "partial 16S ribosomal RNA". It matches the Rfam family "Bacterial small subunit ribosomal RNA", at positions 328 to 792 of the family's 1533-position model. The record is from RNAcentral.
UAUCCAGACUCCUACGGGAGGCAACAGUGGGGAAUAUUGCACAAUGGGGGAAACCCUGAUGCAGCGACGCCGCGUGAAGGAAGAAGUAUUUCGGUAUGUAAACUUCUAUCAGCAGGGAAGAAAAUGACGGUACCUGACUAAGAAGCCCCGGCUAACUACGUGCCAGCAGCCGCGGUAAUACGUAGGGGGCAAGCGUUAUCCGGAUUUACUGGGUGUAAAGGGAGCGUAGGCGGUGCAGCAAGUCAGAAGUGAAAGCCCGGGGCUCAACUCCGGGACUGCUCUUGGAACUGCGCGGCUGGAGUGCAGGAGGGGCAGGCGGAAUUCCUGGUGUAGCGGUGAAAUGCGUAGAUAUCAGGAGGAACACCGGUGGCGAAGGCGGCCUGCUGGACUGCGACUGACGUUGAGGCCCGAAAGCGUGGGGAGCAAACAGGAUUAGAUACCCCAGUA